CCAGGCUGGUCUCAAACUCCUGACCUCAGGUGAUCCGCCCACUUCAGGAAGUUUAACAUGCUGUGCAGGUCGUUGACUUUGGACUGAAAACUAUCAGGCUAUACUGCAGUAUCUCUUUAUAAGCCAGUUUCCCUUCUCCCACUACUCACUCCCAUGGUGACCACCUUAGGGACAGAGUGGUAUUUUCUCUCUUUCUCUCCCUUUCUCAUAUCAGGUAAAAAGAACUGAGUUAAUCAUGUGCUUCAAAUGGUGGAACAAAAUCAUCACUGGGGACACGUCACCUAUCCCCAGGUCACAUCCUGUCAUGAUCAAGACAUUAAUGGAUAUGACAAAGAUCCCAGAUGAAAAGCAACUUCUGAACCACACCACUGGCAUCCUGAUUAAAGCAAACAUAAGCAAGCCGAACCCAGCAAGACAUCUGGAACCAUCCCUAAGAGUGACCAUCCACUAGACAGGACCCAACCCUGCCAUGAGUGGAAUCAACUUCCUGUCUCAUGAGACUGCAGAUUUCAAAUCCUGUGCCUCUCCAUGGCUUCCUGAGCUCCUAACCACACUCUGACAGGCAUGGCAUCUAUGCAAAAAGGGAAAUGAGUGAGGCCAGUUGAAGAAUUAUAUAAUCCUCCAUUUUAAAAAUAGGACUGGGUAUUUUUGGAAAGAACUAGCUGGGUGAGUUAUUUAACAGCCUUUCUGGCUAGCCUGUGGAAACUCAGAAAAUGGCAUUCUCUCAGGGUCUCUAGAAAGAUGUGUUACCUGGUACAGCCAAAGAAGACUGAAGAUGCCCAGGCUGGGCUGAACCUGGGACAAUGCAGAGAUAACCUGGUCCUUUGUAAGCUGUGGACUGGCCCUGUAAUGCACGCUGGGAAGAGAGGAGUUUGGAAGCCACUCCCCAGGAUGGAUCUCUGUAGGCAAAUCCUUUCAACAGCUACUGUGAAGCCCUCUGAGCGAUGCGAUUGAUUAAGGUUGACAAAAGCCUGGCAAUGGCUUCCACUCCCCACUUCUUGUUCCCAUGUUAGACAUUAUUAAUCAAUUACAACUCUUUCUCUACAAGCCCCAGAACCAAUCCUUUACACAAAUCUCCCAGAAGCCACCAACAAUCAGUGGGAGUUGGCACGAGGUGAGACUUCUCCAGUCUGUCUGCAGUAGCUAGUAAGUGGUGCACUGGCUUCAGUUUGGACCACUGCUACAUCGUGGAGUUGACCUGUUGAAAUUGAUGAGCUAUUCUGACAUCAGUAAUGCUCCCUGCAGCUUAGAGUUCAGGACUUCCGUUGUGAUACAAAUACAGCUGCUUGGAGAAUGAAAAUAUUCAUAUAUUUUUGGAGCUAAUUCUAAGUACUUUCAAGUCUGUGCCAAAAUUAAAACUGUUCAGAAAUA
This is a long non-coding RNA of Homo sapiens (human), 1371 nucleotides long. RefSeq lists it as uncharacterized. The record is from RefSeq and is a predicted model, not a curated record. NCBI's taxonomy places the organism in Eukaryota, Metazoa, Chordata, Mammalia, Primates, Hominidae. The transcript is spliced from 2 exons.